CAGAGGCGCUGCGACCGCACGGGCAGCCCCGUCCCGCGCCGGGCAGCCCGGCCGGACCAUGGCAUGGGCACAGGGGGAUCUGACGUCCUCGCUUUCCAUCGUCGUCGCCUUGGCUGCCUGCAUUUCCGCCACCACCAGCGAAGUGAACUUGCUAGACACAUCGACGAUCCCGGGGGACUGGGGCUGGCUCACUUACCCUUCACAUGGGCACUUAGGUAUUGCAAUGAUGACUGUCCUGGAAAUGUUCACAGAUACAAGGUCAGAGAGGACCGUGGAGCUAAUGUGAUGUGAUCUCCUGCAUAAAUACAGGCCAGCAGAGCUGUCAGUUAACUUGCAUUUGAUAAAAGCAGAGCUUUUAGAAAUAAGUUCUCGAUUUCAAAAUUGCUAGUGAUGGUAAAUCCUCUGCAUCCCAUACUGAGUUGUUGCAAGCUGUUAACAGAUC
RNAcentral lists this long non-coding RNA (442 nucleotides) under Dromaius novaehollandiae (emu). RNAcentral's name for it is "lncRNA (ENSDNVG00000016034.1)". The record is from RNAcentral. Lineage: Eukaryota; Metazoa; Chordata; Aves; Casuariiformes; Dromaiidae.